GCAGCGGGCAUCUAGGGUUCCGGUCUUUCAACUCCUCCAGAAAGACGCAGGUCCGAGAGGUGCCACCCGGUCAAAACAGUCCGGGAACACGGCGGGGCAAAAUCCCGGGAGAC
RNAcentral lists this small RNA (113 nucleotides) under Parahoeflea phototrophica. Its description in RNAcentral is "Hoeflea phototrophica Guanidine-I sequence". It matches the Rfam family "Guanidine-I riboswitch aptamer". Rfam says of the family: This family represents a conserved RNA structure found upstream of the ykkC and yxkD genes in Bacillus subtilis and related genes in other bacteria. The record is from RNAcentral. Lineage: Bacteria; Pseudomonadati; Pseudomonadota; Alphaproteobacteria; Hyphomicrobiales; Rhizobiaceae. RNAcentral also lists the same sequence under 1 other name.